UAUUAAAAGUUCAUGUUUGAUAAGGCACUCUCUUCACAUUGCUAACAUUAAGCAUAAUUUCUAGGCAGGAGACAAUUACAUUAAUGAAUGAUUCUUGUGUUAUCAAAUCCCAUGGAAGCCAUUUCUGCAAAAUGAACUGGAAAAUCUGCUCUGUAUUUAGAAGACGUGGCCGUUCCCAUCCCGACAAAGAAGGCCAACUUUUGUAUUACCAUUGCGUUACCAAUGGACGAUUCUGGCCUGGAGUUCUACCAUCAGAAAAUGUUCUAAUAAAUCCAAGCCCCAAAUAAGUUCUCGUCCAGUGGAGCAGUUCAUUAUUCAUUGGGCAGUAGGCACAGUUACACAGCUUGCUUCUGAUAGCUCCGAAGUACUGUCUUAUCCACUGACUCUUGUGGAACAUUUACUGGAAUGUUGCUUGAGGAUCCUUUGAAGACACUGCAUUUAAACUUCUCAAACAUGCUGCAUGGGCUAUUAUUCCAGUUUCUCACUCAAUAUUUGUUGACAUCCAAGUGGGGCAAGGAAGGUCUCCUCAUCAUUCCUGGGUGGGGGUGAAGAUGAAAUACACAGCUCCUAGCUCUUCUUCCACUGGUACCAGGCACAGAUGACAUUGCUACCACUAAGAGGAGGAAGCUCCUCUGUUGACAGCUGAGCAAGGCAUCGAUCUAUGAAAACUCGGGGUGCUCUUAAUCAUGCAGUGCAGAAGCAACAUCCUUUGGUAUUUACCCAAAGAAGAUCAACAAUUCUGCCCACAAAGAAACCUGCACAGGAACGUAGCAGUUGUGUUUUAAGAUCUGCUUUUGUCUGAUGCAUCCAACUGCUUGCCAGAGGAGGACCUCAGGGUAUUCCAUCCAUGGAGUCUUGGCUGUGUCACUUAAUAGCCAGUUCAGCUUGUCCCUGCAGGAUUUGGAUAACUGUAAGAAGCAACUGUCUUUCCAUCCAUGUUUCUCACUCUGAAAUUUCUUAGAUGUCGUUCUUGAAAGUUGGAGUUGGGAGGAAACAAACUUGGGUAAUAUUAUCUGUGGGUAGUGCCCCAAGUAUAAACAAAGCUGUCUUCAAGGGUCUACACCUAAUACUCCUACCGGAAGCAUGGUGAUAAUAAGCCAGAUGCAGACAUUUCCUUCAACAUUCCCCAGACGAUGUGGCUCCUCGCACCAGAUUAGAAUGUAGUCUGUACAGAGAGGCAUGUUAGAGCCUUUCUCUCGGGAGGAAAAACAGUUUUCAGUCUGAGACUGACCCUGUAACUGUAGUCAAAAUCCAGU
This is a long non-coding RNA of Mus musculus (house mouse), 1256 nucleotides long. RefSeq annotates it as predicted gene, 31351. The transcript is spliced from 5 exons. The record is from RefSeq and is a predicted model, not a curated record. Lineage: Eukaryota; Metazoa; Chordata; Mammalia; Rodentia; Muridae.